GAGACAGAGGGAGAAAGGGGUGUUUGUAAGGGUAGAUGUCUGUGAGUGUGUGUGUGUGUGUGUGUGGGGGGGGGGGGGGCUGUCUUGUUUGCAGCUUGUCAGCAAUUGCUUGAGACAAGCUUCCCCUCCACCAUGUGUGAAAGCUACUUGGCGUGAAUGCCCAGACUGUACCAAGUGGCGGCGAGUCAUGAGGGGGGGAGCUGCAAGAAAAACAGACCCACACAGAGACAAUAGGCCCCUGAAGUGUUCCCCCUGAGUUGCUUUGAUGAUGUCCUAGUGUCUAGAUGCUAGAGGGGACCAGGGCUUGCGAGGAAGAAGAAGUCUUUGUGUGCACUCUUUUCACCGGCCAGGACAAAAGAGUGGGGAGUAAGAAGCCCAAAGAGAAGAAAAAACACCAAACAAAUGAAAACCAAAGCGCUCCUCUAGAUGUUUUGUGUCCGCGGUAGUGGGGAAGCGAGGGAAGGAGAGAUCGAGUGAGGAGGAGAAGAGAGCUGCGGUAGCACAGGUUGAUUGGAGAUAAACAGCAGUGUGGACACGGACGCGGACAGAGACAGGGUCUGGUGUCUAUCGCCCAGACGGAGACCCUCUGUGUCGGAGGGUCGCCAUGGUGACGGCCAGGGCCCAUCCCAGAUGGGGUCCAUGUUACAGACACAAAAACCCCUCCUACUCGUCCCCCUACUCGUCCCCAUGCAGCGAGCAGACGUGCCACUGCUGCUCCACGGCUCUGGGCCCGUUUGUGUGGCUGCUAUGUGGUGGCAGCAGGCAGGCAGAGGGGAUUCAACCCAGGACCUGAGUCAGCCUGCCACCCCCUCAGGAUAUAGGUCAGCUCUGGUGAAGUGGCCCACGGGGAGAGAAGGAGAGGUGAGAGAGCGUGACGUGACUGGCUGGGAGACUGCAUGGGACUCUCUCUCUCUCUCAAUUCAAUUCAAUUUAAGGAGCUUUGUUGGCAUGAGAAACAUAUGUUUACAUUGCCAAAGCAAGUGAAAUAGAUAAUAAACAAAAGUGAAAUAAACAAUAGAAAAUGAAC
Molecule: long non-coding RNA, 1027 nt
Filed under: Salmo salar (Atlantic salmon)
Lineage: Eukaryota; Metazoa; Chordata; Actinopteri; Salmoniformes; Salmonidae
Description: lncRNA (ENSSSAG00000107728.1)
Source: RNAcentral